GCCGGAAUAGCUCAGUUGGUAGAGCAGGGGAUUGAAAAUCCUCGUGUCACCAGUUCAAA
RNAcentral lists this transfer RNA (59 nucleotides) under Radula okamurana. Its description in RNAcentral is "partial tRNA-Phe". It matches the Rfam family "tRNA", at positions 1 to 57 of the family's 71-position model. Rfam says of the family: Transfer RNA (tRNA) molecules are approximately 80 nucleotides in length. Their secondary structure includes four short double-helical elements and three loops (D, anti-codon, and T loops). Further hydrogen bonds mediate the characteristic L-shaped molecular structure. tRNAs have two regions of fundamental functional importance: the anti-codon, which is responsible for specific mRNA codon recognition, and the 3' end, to which the tRNAs corresponding amino acid is attached (by aminoacyl-tRNA synthetases). tRNAs cope with the degeneracy of the genetic code in two manners: having more than one tRNA (with a specific anti-codon) for a particular amino acid; and 'wobble' base-pairing, i.e. permitting non-standard base-pairing at the 3rd anti-codon position. The record is from RNAcentral. Lineage: Eukaryota; Viridiplantae; Streptophyta; Jungermanniopsida; Radulales; Radulaceae.